RNAcentral lists this ribosomal RNA (811 nucleotides) under uncultured archaeon. RNAcentral describes it as "bacterial SSU rRNA". It matches the Rfam family "Archaeal small subunit ribosomal RNA", at positions 58 to 852 of the family's 1478-position model. The record is from RNAcentral.
UCGUACGCUCUCGGGAAGAGGGCGUGGCGGACGGCUGAGUAACACGUGGCUAACCUGCCCUUGGGAUCUGGAUAACCCCGGGAAACUGGGGCUAAUCCGGAGCAGGCAAGGGAAUCUGGAAUGAUCUCUUGCCUGAAGGCCUCUCGGCUGAUCCCGUCGAGAGGCGCCCAAGGAUGGGGCUGCGGCCCAUCAGGCUGUUGGGGGAGUAAAGGUCCCCCAAACCGAUAACGGGUAGGGGCCGUGGGAGCGGGAGCCCCCAGUUGGGCACUGAGACAAGGGCCCAGGCCCUACGGGGCGCACCAGGCGCGGAACGUCCCCAAUGCGGGAAACCGUGAGGGCGUUACUCCUAGUGCCCUCGCAAGAGGGCUUUUCUCCACUCCAGAAAGGUGGAGGAAUAAGCGGGGGGCAAGACUGGUGUCAGCCGCCGCGGUAAUACCAGCCCCGCGAGUGAUCGGGACGUUUAUUGGGCUUAAAGCGCCCGUAGCCGGCCUGUAAAGUCACCGUUUAAAGACCCGGGCUCAACUCGGGGAACGGCGGUGAUACUUACAGGCUAGGGGGCGGGAGAGGUCGGAGGUACUCCCGGAGUAGGGGCGAAAUCCUCAGAUCCCGGGAGGACCACCAGUGGCGAAAGCGUCCGGCUAGAACGCGCCCGACGGUGAGGGGCGAAAGCCGGGGUAGCAAAUAGGAUUAGAUACCCUAGUAGUCCCGGCUGUAAACGAUGCAGGCUAGGUGUCGCGUAGGCUUUGUGCCUGCGCGGUGCCGCAGGAAAACUGGUAAGCCCGCCGCCUGGGGAGUACGGCCGCAAGGCUGA